Molecule: ribosomal RNA, 253 nt
Filed under: uncultured bacterium
Lineage: Bacteria
Description: partial 16S ribosomal RNA
Rfam family: Bacterial small subunit ribosomal RNA
Source: RNAcentral
UACGUAGGGGGCUAGCGUUGUCCGGAUUUAUUGGGCGUAAAGAGCGUGUAGGCGGCUAGGUAGGUCCGUUGUGAAAACUCGAGGCUCAACCUCGAGACGCCGGUGGAAACCAUCUAGCUAGAGUCCGGAAGAGGAGAGUGGAAUUCCUGGUGUAGCGGUGAAAUGCGCAGAUAUCAGGAGGAACACCGAUGGCGAAGGCAGCUCGCUGGGACGGUACUGACGCUGAGGCGCGAAAGCGUGGGGAGCAAACAGG